UCCUUUAAGUUUCAGUAUCAGAUCAAAUCACGUCUUAUAAUAAGAAGAAAUCUUUCUCGAUAUCAAUCCCCUUGCCCCUCAUUCUUUGAGAAUCAGUAGGAUCCUUUUUGAGUUUCUGACUUUACUUGA
RNAcentral lists this ribosomal RNA (129 nucleotides) under Triticum aestivum (bread wheat). RNAcentral's name for it is "partial small subunit ribosomal RNA". The record is from RNAcentral. Lineage: Eukaryota; Viridiplantae; Streptophyta; Magnoliopsida; Poales; Poaceae.